UGGGAAAAUUUUGUGAUAUGGGUUUUGAUUUGGGGUGAUUUUUGAGGUGGGUUUUGCUAGACUUUGACUUGAUACUAACAAUACCAGAACAGCCAUAGGAGAGGAUUUCUAUGAUUGUACAGAACACAACACUCAAGCUUUUUUCAUAGCAGUCUACCCUUUGUUUGUUACAGCCAACGUUUUGCAGGUAUUUUUUCUUUCCUAAAUAGUUCAUCGACCAUGCAUUAUAAAUCAUGUAAUUUAAUGGUUUUUGUUGAAUUUGUUACAUAAAUUUUUCAUGAUGGGUUUCUCGGGAUACCUAGAUGCUGCACAUAGAGACGAUUGAAGUUGAAGAUAUCGAUAGUGGCAAUUGCCCAGGUGAUGCUGCUGUCAGGAAAUGGUGAUUGUUGCUUCAAUUUUCAUUUGGGAGUGCGGAUGAGUAGAAAGAGAUAGAGAGAGAAUGAAGAUGAUGUGAAGAGGAGAAAUAAAAAAAGACACCGAUAGUGCAGUAUGCCCAAAAUUGAGAAAGAAA
This 511-nucleotide long non-coding RNA is filed under the name Malus domestica (apple). RNAcentral's name for it is "long non-coding RNA (MDOM_LNC017334)". The record is from RNAcentral. Lineage: Eukaryota; Viridiplantae; Streptophyta; Magnoliopsida; Rosales; Rosaceae.